UGUUCACUUUUCUUCUAAAUUUUUUAAAUUGCAGACACAGUGGGGUCACUCGAGCUAUUUUCAUGUAAAGUAGCUACACCAUUAUUAAUAGGUUUACAAAGCUGUUUUUCAUUCGAGGUGUUGACGCUGUUGUUUUGCCUCGCAAAAUGUAAAGUAAAUUCAAGUCGCCUAUCUUUGCCUAAUUCGACUGUACGUGGUAAUAAUUUAAAGGAAGAGUUGCGUCCAAGACGAAGAACCUAAAGACGAGGGAAUCUGUCACAGAAGUUAAGGUCAGAUAAAAAUUCCACUGCAUUUGAUAAUAUUGCCGAGAUUUCAUUUGCGUAGU
Molecule: non-coding RNA, 325 nt
Organism: Paramuricea clavata
Lineage: Eukaryota; Metazoa; Cnidaria; Anthozoa; Malacalcyonacea; Plexauridae
Source: the annotation of a GenBank genome assembly